UGCAAGUCGAACGGAAAGGCCGGGUGCUUGCACCCGGUACUCGAGUGGCGAACGGGUGAGUAACACGUGGGUGAUCUGCCCUGCACUUCGGGAUAAGCCUGGGAAACUGGGUCUAAUACCGGAUAGGACCAUUGGUUGGUACUGGUGGUGGAAAGUUUUUCGGUGCAGGAUGAGCUCGCGGCCUAUCAGCUUGUUGGUGGGGUAAUGGCCUACCAAGGCGGCGACGGGUAGCCGGCCUGAGAGGGUGGACGGCCACAUUGGGACUGAGACACGGCCCAGACUCCUACGGGAGGCAGCAGUGGGGAAUAUUGCACAAUGGGCGCAAGCCUGAUGCAGCGACGCCGCGUGGGGGAUGACGGCCUUCGGGUUGUAAACUCCUUUCAACCAUGACGAAGCUUUUGUGACGGUAGUGGUAGAAGAAGCACCGGCUAACUAC
This 436-nucleotide ribosomal RNA is filed under the name uncultured bacterium. Its description in RNAcentral is "bacterial SSU rRNA". It matches the Rfam family "Bacterial small subunit ribosomal RNA", at positions 56 to 504 of the family's 1533-position model. The record is from RNAcentral.